AACGAACGCUGGCGGCAGGCCUAACACAUGCAAGUCGAACGCCGUAGCAAUACGGAGUGGCAGACGGGUGAGUAACACGUGGGAACAUACCCUUCGGUUCGGAAUAACUCAGGGAAACUUGAGCUAAUACCGGAUACGUCCGCGAGGAGAAAGAUUCAUCGCCGGAGGAUUGGCCCGCGUCUGAUUAGCUUGUUGGUGAGGUAACGGCUCACCAAGGCGACGAUCAGUAGCGGUCUGAGAGGAUGAUCAGCCA
This 253-nucleotide ribosomal RNA is filed under the name uncultured bacterium. RNAcentral describes it as "partial 16S ribosomal RNA". It matches the Rfam family "Bacterial small subunit ribosomal RNA", at positions 29 to 310 of the family's 1533-position model. The record is from RNAcentral.